CGUGCAGCCGGAGAGACAAGUCAGAUGUGAAAUCCGCGGGCUUAACCCGCGAACUGCAUUUGAAACUGUUUCCCUUGAGUAUCGGAGAGGUAAUCGGAAUUCCUAGUGUAGCGGUGAAAUGCGUAGAUAUUAGGAAGAACACCAGUGGCGAAGGCGGAUUACUGGACGACAACUGACGGUGAGGCGCGAAAGCGUGGGAGCAAACA
Molecule: ribosomal RNA, 206 nt
Filed under: uncultured bacterium
Lineage: Bacteria
Description: partial 16S ribosomal RNA
Rfam family: Bacterial small subunit ribosomal RNA
Source: RNAcentral